This 253-nucleotide ribosomal RNA is filed under the name uncultured bacterium. RNAcentral's name for it is "partial 16S ribosomal RNA". It matches the Rfam family "Bacterial small subunit ribosomal RNA", at positions 524 to 776 of the family's 1533-position model. The record is from RNAcentral.
UACGUAGGUGGCAAGCGUUGUCCGGAUUUAUUGGGUUUAAAGGGUGCGUAGGCGGCCCUGUAAGUCAGUGCUGAAAUAUCCCAGCUUAACUGGGAGGGUGGCAUUGAUACUGCGGGACUAGAGUACAGAUGAGGUAGGCGGAAUUGACGGUGUAGCGGUGAAAUGCUUAGAUAUCGUCAAGAACACCUAUAGCGAAGGCAGCUUACUAGGCUGUAACUGACGCUGAGGCACGAAAGUGUGGGGAUCAAACAGG